Otolemur garnettii (small-eared galago) is the source of this 291-nucleotide non-coding RNA. The record is from Rfam. NCBI's taxonomy places the organism in Eukaryota, Metazoa, Chordata, Mammalia, Primates, Galagidae.
GCUGGGCGUUGUGGCGGGUGCCUGUAGUCCCAGCUACUGGGGAGGCUGAAGCAAGAGAAUUGCUUAAGCCCAAGAGUUUGAGGUUGCUGUGAAUUGUGAUGCCUCGGCACUCUACUGAGGGUGACAUAGUGAGACUCUGUCUCAAAACAAAUAAAUAAAUACACAAAAAAGGCCUUUAUUUUAUUUAUUUAUUGAGACAGAGUCUCACUUUGUCACCCUCAGUAGAGUGCUAAGGCAUCACAGCUCACAGCAACCUCCAACUAUUGGGCUUAAGCGAUUCUCUUGCCUCAG